RNAcentral lists this long non-coding RNA (437 nucleotides) under Selaginella moellendorffii. RNAcentral describes it as "long non-coding RNA (SMOE_LNC002289)". Lineage: Eukaryota; Viridiplantae; Streptophyta; Lycopodiopsida; Selaginellales; Selaginellaceae. The record is from RNAcentral.
GGUUUGAAAGGUCGACAAAAGCAAAUAAAAUCUCAUACUAGAACAUAAAUUCUUUCUAGGACAUUCUAGGACUCUUUUCUCGUACACUAGGUGUGGAUCUUCCGUGGUACUCCUCUCCAUCAGUCUCAAAGCUUCACGAAACAAAUCUGCCGAUGCUUCAUUGUCGCCCGUGACUAUUGUUCCGUAUGAAAAAGGCUACAAAGUUAUCAUACCCGUCAUGUACUUUGCUUGCGCCAAUGCCGACAUUACAGCUCCAACCCAUCUAUCACUGGGUUUCUCCUUUGCAAGCUAAAGAGCCCUGAAGAAGAAACAAAACAAAUGUGAGAGACAACUUCACCGUGACUCAACGUUUUGUCAACGUGCGACGGUGAGCUGGAGCGGGAGAACCAAAAUCUGGCUGUCCAACCAAUACUGCAAUCGCUGAAUAAACGAACAAU